Molecule: ribosomal RNA, 431 nt
Filed under: uncultured Oscillibacter sp.
Lineage: Bacteria; Bacillati; Bacillota; Clostridia; Eubacteriales; Oscillospiraceae
Description: bacterial SSU rRNA
Rfam family: Bacterial small subunit ribosomal RNA
Source: RNAcentral
AACGCGAAGAACCUUACCAGGUCUUGACAUCCGACUAACGAAGUAGAGAUACAUUAGGUGCCCUUCGGGGAAAGUAGAGACAGGUGGUGCAUGGUUGUCGUCAGCUCGUGUCGUGAGAUGUUGGGUUAAGUCCCGCAACGAGCGCAACCCCUAUUGUUAGUUGCUACGCAAGAGCACUCUAGCGAGACUGCCGUUGACAAAACGGAGGAAGGCGGGGACGACGUCAAAUCAUCAUGCCCCUUAUGUCCCGGGCUACACACGUAAUACAAUGGCGGUCAACAGAGGGAAGCAAAGCCGCGAGGCAGAGCAAACCCCUAAAAGCCGUCUCAGUUCGGAUUGCAGGCUGCAACUCGCCUGCAUGAAGUUGGAAUUGCUAGUAAUCGUGGAUCAGCAUGCCACGGUGAAUACGUUCCCGGGUCUUGUACACACGC